RNA transcript from Medicago truncatula (barrel medic), 873 nucleotides. RefSeq lists it as uncharacterized. Lineage: Eukaryota; Viridiplantae; Streptophyta; Magnoliopsida; Fabales; Fabaceae. The transcript is spliced from 7 exons. The record is from RefSeq and is a predicted model, not a curated record.
AAAUGCUUUAUUUCACAAAUUUCACGGUAAUAAAAAACCCCUCCAACAUCUCAAUCGAAUUGGGUUAUUUUUCACUUUUCCCUCUCCCAAUUUCAAUUUCAAUUUCAGAUUUUCCCUUACCUCUUGUCUCUACCAAUUUGAUUUUUCCUCUUCCCUUCCACCACCCAUCUCUCUCCAUCAACCAAUCUCUUUGUUUGCUGAAGACUCAUCUCUCACAGAAGCUAAAUCUAUAAUUGAAGACACCAACGAUUUACCCCUUUUUCAAACCCUAGAAUCGAAGAAAGAAAGAGUUCUCCCUUUUGUGUUACUAAAUUCAUGUACCUUUAUUUGAUUUCAGCGGGCGGAGCGACAAAAUUGAAUAUAUAAGGGAGGCAAUGGCAUUGAAUUCUCAAUCGAAAAAGAAAUUUGAGGCACCCUUCCAUUCUUUUGUUACAUUGGCUGCUGUAGUCCACUUAUUUCUGAUCUGUUACAGUUCAAGAAAGAGGAAGAGAAAUAAGAAGCAAAAGGGAUUAACUCAAGAGGUUGGAGUGAUAUAAUACAAUUGAGAAGACGGAGUCUAUGAUUGAUGAGGCAAGCAAGUUAAGACUAUUUUGUUUUAGGUCAACUUUAACAUAAGCUACUCAUUAGUUUCAUCAGUUGUUAUGGGUACUGAAAAUGGCAUUCCUUUUGGUGAGAUUGCAAAGGUCUUAACUACCCGAAAUUACUUUAAUAACUUUGCUGGAAAUAUUGUUUGUACAGCUACUAUAGUCUAUACAUUAUCUAGAAUGUGAAUUGUGAAGCUUAACUAAGAUGGUGUAAAUAAACAACUUAUUGUACGAUGUUAAUUUAAAUUAUGUUAGUUUAUUAUCUAGAAUAUGCAGGCUUACACCUAUA